GCGGCUUAAUAAGUCAGUGGUGAAAGCCCUACGCUUAACGUAGGAACGGCCAUUGAUACUGUUAGGCUUGAAUUAUUAGGAAGUAACUAGAAUAUGUAGUGUAGCGGUGAAAUGCUUAGAGAUUACAUGGAAUACCAAUUGCGAAGGCAGGUUACUACUAAUGGAUUGACGCUGAUGGACGAAAGCGUGGGUAGCGAACAGGAUUAGAUACCCUGGUAGUCCACGCCGUAAACGAUGGAUACUAGCUGUUGGAAGCAAUUUCAGUGGCUAAGCGAAAGUGAUAAGUAUCCCACCUGGGGAGUACGAACGCAAGUUUGAAACUCAAAGGAAUUGACGGGGGCCCGCACAAGCGGUGGAGCAUGUGGUUUAAUUCGAUGAUACGCGAGGAACCUUACCAAGGCUUAAAUGUAGUUUGACCGAUUUGGAAACAGAUCUUUCGCAAGACAAAUUACAAGGUGCUGCAUGGUUGUCGUCAGCUCGUGCCGUGAGGUGUCAGGUUAAGUCCUAUAACGAGCGCAACCCCUGUUGUUAGUUGCCAGCGAGUCAAGUCGGGAACUCUAACAAGACUGCCAGUGCAAACUGUGAGGAAGGUGGGGAUGACGUCAAAUCAUCACGGCCCUUACGCCUUGGGCUACACACGUGCUACAAUGGACGGUACAGAGAGCAGCCACUACGCGAGUAGGA
Molecule: ribosomal RNA, 684 nt
Filed under: uncultured Flavobacterium sp.
Lineage: Bacteria; Pseudomonadati; Bacteroidota; Flavobacteriia; Flavobacteriales; Flavobacteriaceae
Description: bacterial SSU rRNA
Rfam family: Bacterial small subunit ribosomal RNA
Source: RNAcentral